CCCAGACUCCUACGGGAGGCAGCAGUGGGGAAUAUUGCACAAUGGGCGAAAGCCUGAUGCAGCGACGCCGCGUGAGGGAUGACGGCCUUCGGGUUGUAAACCUCUUUCAGCAGGGAAGAAGCGAAAGUGACGGUACCUGCAGAAGAAGCGCCGGCUAACUACGUGCCAGCAGCCGCGGUAAUACGUAGGGCGCAAGCGUUGUCCGGAAUUAUUGGGCGUAAAGAGCUCGUAGGCGGCUUGUCACGUCGGAUGUGAAAGCCCGGGGCUUAACCCCGGGUCUGCAUUCGAUACGGGCUAGCUAGAGUGUGGUAGGGGAGAUCGGAAUUCCUGGUGUAGCGGUGAAAUGCGCAGAUAUCAGGAGGAACACCGGUGGCGAAGGCGGAUCUCUGGGCCAUUACUGACGCUGAGGAGCGAAAGCGUGGGGAGCGAACAGGAUUAGAUACCCUGGUAGUCCACGCCGUAAACGUUGGGAACUAGGUGUUGGCGACAUUCCACGUCGUCGGUGCCGCAGCUAACGCAUUAAGUUCCCCGCCUGGGGAGUACGGCCGCAAGGCUAAAACUCAAAGGAAUUGACGGGGGCCCCGCACAAGCAGCGGAGCAUGUGGCUUAAUUCGACGCAACGCGAAGAACCUUACCAAGGCUUGACAUAUACCGGAAAGCAUCAGAGAUGGUGCCUCCCUUGUGGUCGGUAUACAGGUGGUGCAUGGCUGUCGUCAGCUCGUGUCGUGAGAUGUUGGGUUAAGUCCCGCAACGAGCGCAACCCUUGUUCUGUGUUGCCAGCAUGCCCUUCGGGGUGAUGGGGACUCACAGGAGACUGCCGGGGUCAACUCGGAGGAAGGUGGGGACGACGUCAAGUCAUCAUGCCCCUUAUGUCUUGGGCUGCACACGUGCUACAAUGGCCGGUACAAUGAGCUGCGAUGCCGCGAGGCGGAGCGAAUCUCAAAAAGCCGGUCUCAGUUCGGAUUGGGGUCUGCAACUCGACCCCAUGAAGUCGGAGUUGCUAGUAAUCGCAGAUCAGCAUUGCUGCGGUGAAUACGUUCCCGGGCCUUGUACACACCGCCCGUC
RNAcentral lists this ribosomal RNA (1065 nucleotides) under Streptomyces sp. Its description in RNAcentral is "bacterial SSU rRNA". It matches the Rfam family "Bacterial small subunit ribosomal RNA", at positions 330 to 1398 of the family's 1533-position model. Lineage: Bacteria; Bacillati; Actinomycetota; Actinomycetes; Kitasatosporales; Streptomycetaceae. The record is from RNAcentral.